UUUUUUUUUUGUUUUGAAAAUAGUUGAAGUCUCUCCUUUAUAAAUGAACUGCUAUUGUAUUUAAGGAUACUUUGAAUGAAUGAUCCCCCAAUACAUGCUGCGACAAUUUCAAACAAUUCAGGACAAAGAAAGGACAAUAACGUUUCGUUUUCCUUGAUAAAUUCUCCGUUUAACGACAUAAAUGUCAUUUGUAACGCAUGUUCUGAGG
Molecule: long non-coding RNA, 208 nt
Filed under: Mytilus galloprovincialis (Mediterranean mussel)
Lineage: Eukaryota; Metazoa; Mollusca; Bivalvia; Mytilida; Mytilidae
Source: RNAcentral